ACACAUGCAGUCGAGCGGAAACGUAUGGAGCUUGCUCCAGGCGUCGAGCGGCGGACGGGUGAGUAAUGCAUAGGAAUCUGCCCGGUAGUGGGGGAUAACCUGGGGAAACCCAGGCUAAUACCGCAUACGUCCUACGGGAGAAAGCAGGGGAUCUUCGGACCUUGCGCUAUCGGAUGAGCCUAUGUCGGAUUAGCUUGUUGGUGAGGUAAUGGCUCACCAAGGCGACGAUCCGUAGCUGGUCUGAGAGGAUGAUCAGCCACAUCGGGACUGAGACACGGCCCGAACUCCUACGGGAGGCAGCAGUGGGGAAUAUUGGACAAUGGGCGAAAGCCUGAUCCAGCCAUGCCGCGUGUGUGAAGAAGGCUUUCGGGUUGUAAAGCACUUUCAGUGAGGAAGAAGGCCUUGGGGCUAAUACCCCCGAGGAAGGACAUCACUCACAGAAGAAGCACCGGCUAACUCCGUGCCAGCAGCCGCGGUAAUACGGAGGGUGCGAGCGUUAAUCGGAAUUACUGGGCGUAAAGCGCGCGUAGGCGGCGUGAUAAGCCGGUUGUGAAAGCCCCGGGCUCAACCUGGGAACGGCAUCCGGAACUGUCAGGCUAGAGUGCAGGAGAGGAAGGUAGAAUUCCCGGUGUAGCGGUGAAAUGCGUAGAGAUCGGGAGGAAUACCAGUGGCGAAGGCGGCCUUCUGGACUGACACUGACGCUGAGGUGCGAAAGCGUGGGUAGCAAACAGGAUUAGAUACCCUGGUAGUCCACGCCGUAAACGAUGUCGACUAGCCGUUGGGGUCCUAGAGACCUUUGUGGCGCAGUUAACGCGAUAAGUCGACCGCCUGGGGAGUACGGCCGCAAGGUUAAAACUCAAAUGAAUUGACGGGGGCCCGCACAAGCGGUGGAGCAUGUGGUUUAAUUCGAUGCAACGCGAAGAACCUUACCUACCCUUGACAUCGUGCGAACUUGGUAGAGAUACCUUGGUGCCUUCGGGAACGCACAGACAGGUGCUGCAUGGCUGUCGUCAGCUCGUGUUGUGAAAUGUUGGGUUAAGUCCCGUAACGAGCGCAACCCUUGUCCCUAUUUGCCAGCGAUUCGGUCGGGAACUCUAGGGAGACUGCCGGUGACAAACCGGAGGAAGGUGGGGACGACGUCAAGUCAUCAUGGCCCUUACGGGUAGGGCUACACACGUGCUACAAUGGCCGGUACAAAGGGUUGCGAAGCCGCGAGGUGGAGCUAAUCCCGAAAAGCCGGUCUCAGUCCGGAUCGGAGUCUGCAACUCGACUCCGUGAAGUCGGAAUCGCUAGUAAUCGUGAAUCAGAAUGUCACGGUGAAUACGUUCCCGGGCCUUGUACACACCGCCCGUCACACCAUGGGAGUGGACUGCACCAGAAGUGGUUAGCCUAACUUCGGAGGGCGAUCACCACGG
Molecule: ribosomal RNA, 1415 nt
Filed under: Halomonas sp. GQ30
Lineage: Bacteria; Pseudomonadati; Pseudomonadota; Gammaproteobacteria; Oceanospirillales; Halomonadaceae
Description: 16S ribosomal RNA
Rfam family: Bacterial small subunit ribosomal RNA
Source: RNAcentral